CCUACGGGAGGCAGCAGUGGGGAAUAUUGGACAAUGGGGGCAACCCUGAUCCAGCCAUGCCGCGUGUGUGAAGAAGGCCCUCGGGUUGUAAAGCACUUUCAGUGAGGAAGAACGCCUGGUGGUUAAUACCCAUCAGGAAAGACAUCACUCACAGAAGAAGCACCGGCUAACUCCGUGCCAGCAGCCGCGGUAAUACGGAGGGUGCGAGCGUUAAUCGGAAUUACUGGGCGUAAAGCGCGCGUAGGUGGCUUGAUAAGCCGGUUGUGAAAGCCCCGGGCUCAACCUGGGAACGGCAUCCGGAACUGUCAAGCUAGAGUGCAGGAGAGGAAGGUAGAAUUCCCGGUGUAGCGGUGAAAUGCGUAGAGAUCGGGAGGAAUACCAGUGGCGAAGGCGGCCUUCUGGACUGACACUGACACUGAGGUGCGAAAGCGUGGGUAGCAAACAGGAUUAGAUACCUGAGUAGUC
RNAcentral lists this ribosomal RNA (465 nucleotides) under Vreelandella stevensii. RNAcentral describes it as "partial 16S ribosomal RNA". It matches the Rfam family "Bacterial small subunit ribosomal RNA", at positions 338 to 795 of the family's 1533-position model. Lineage: Bacteria; Pseudomonadati; Pseudomonadota; Gammaproteobacteria; Oceanospirillales; Halomonadaceae. The record is from RNAcentral.